RNAcentral lists this ribosomal RNA (396 nucleotides) under uncultured bacterium. RNAcentral describes it as "partial 16S ribosomal RNA". It matches the Rfam family "Bacterial small subunit ribosomal RNA", at positions 523 to 918 of the family's 1533-position model. The record is from RNAcentral.
AUACGUAGGUGGCAAGCGUUGUCCGGAAUUAUUGGGCGUAAAGCGCAUGUAGGCGGUGCCUUAAGUCUGUCGUGAAACUGCGGGGCCUAACCCCGUAUGGCGAUGGAAACUGUGGCACUUGAGUGCAGGAGAGGGAAGGGGAACUCCCAGUGUAGCGGUGAAAUGCGUAGAUAUUGGGAAGAACACCGGUGGCGAAGGCGCCUUUCUGGACUGUGUCUGACGCUGAGAUGCGAAAGCCAGGGUAGCGAACGGGAUUAGAUACCCCGGUAGUCCUGGCCGUAAACGAUGGGUACUAGGUGUGGGAGGUAUCGACCCCUUCCGUGCCGGAGUUAACGCAAUAAGUACCCCGCCUGGGGAGUACGGCCGCAAGGCUUAAACUCAAAUGAAUUGACGGGG